This 148-nucleotide non-coding RNA is filed under the name Gorilla gorilla gorilla (western lowland gorilla). The record is from Rfam by way of RNAcentral. Lineage: Eukaryota; Metazoa; Chordata; Mammalia; Primates; Hominidae.
GCUGGGCAUGGUGGCCCAUGCCUGUAAUCCCAGCUACUUGGGAGGCUGAGGCAGGAGAAUAGCUUGAACCCGGGUGACAGAGGUUGCAGUGAGCAGAGAUCAUGCCAUUGCACUCUAGCCUGGGUGACAGAGCAAGACUCUGUCUCAA